This 75-nucleotide transfer RNA is filed under the name Thermodesulfatator sp. RNAcentral describes it as "tRNA-Val". It matches the Rfam family "tRNA". Rfam says of the family: Transfer RNA (tRNA) molecules are approximately 80 nucleotides in length. Lineage: Bacteria; Pseudomonadati; Thermodesulfobacteriota; Thermodesulfobacteria; Thermodesulfobacteriales; Thermodesulfatatoraceae. RNAcentral also lists the same sequence under 1 other name. The record is from RNAcentral.
GGGCGGAUAGCUCAGUGGGAGAGCAUCGGCCUUACAAGCCGGGGGUCACAGGUUCAAGUCCUGUUCCGCCCACCA